RNAcentral lists this ribosomal RNA (491 nucleotides) under uncultured bacterium. RNAcentral describes it as "partial 16S ribosomal RNA". It matches the Rfam family "Bacterial small subunit ribosomal RNA", at positions 29 to 506 of the family's 1533-position model. The record is from RNAcentral.
AGUGAACGCUGGCGGUAGGCCUAACACAUGCAAGUCGAACGGCAGCACAGUAAGAGCUUGCUCUUACGGGUGGCGAGUGGCGGACGGGUGAGGAAUACAUCGGAAUCUACUUUUUCGUGGGUGAUAACGUAGGGAAACUUACGCUAAUACCGCAUACGACCUACGUGUGAAAGCAGGGGAUCUUCGGACCUUGCGCGAUUGAAUGAGCCGAUGUCGGAUUAGCUAGUUGGCGGGGUAAAGGCCCACCAAGGCGACGAUCCGUAGCUGGUCUGAGGGGAAGGUCAGACAGACUGGAAGUGAGACACGUCCCAGACUCUGACGGGGGGAAGCGGUGGAGAAUAUUGGACAAUGGGGGCAAGCCUGAUCCAGCCAUACCGCGGGGGUGAAGAAGGACUUCGGGUUGGAAAGCCCUUUUGUUGGGAAAGAAAAGCAGCAGGUUAAUACCCCGCUGUUCUGACGGGACCCAAAGAAUAAGCACCGGCUAACUUCGU